Molecule: ribosomal RNA, 366 nt
Filed under: uncultured organism
Description: bacterial SSU rRNA
Rfam family: Bacterial small subunit ribosomal RNA
Source: RNAcentral
CGGAGGAUCCAAGCGUUAUCCGGAAUCAUUGGGUUUAAAGGGUCCGUAGGCGGUCUUAUAAGUCAGUGGUGAAAUCUCCCCGCUCAACGGGGAAACGGCCAUUGAUACUGUAGGACUUGAAUUAUUAGGAAGUAACUAGAAUAUGUAGUGUAGCGGUGAAAUGCUUAGAGAUUACAUGGAAUACCAAUUGCGAAGGCAGGUUACUACUAAUGGAUUGACGCUGAUGGACGAAAGCGUGGGUAGCGAACAGGAUUAGAUACCCUGGUAGUCCACGCCGUAAACGAUGGAUACUAGCUGUUGGAAGCAAUUUCAGUGGCUAAGCGAAAGUGAUAAGUAUCCCACCUGGGGAGUACGUUCGCAAGAAUG